GUCCUACGGGGCGCAGCAGUGGGGGAUAUUGCACAAUGGGGGGAACCCUGAUGCAGCGACGCCGCGUGGGUGAAGGAGUAUUUCGGUAUGUAAAGCCCUAUCGGCAGGGAAGAAGCAAGACGGUACCUGACUAAGAAGCCCCGGCUAACUACGUGCCAGCAGCCGCGGUAAUACGUAGGGGGCGAGCGUUAUCCGGAUUUACUGGGGGUAAAGGGAGCGCAGGCGGCACGGCAAGCCUGAUGUGAAAGCC
This 250-nucleotide ribosomal RNA is filed under the name uncultured bacterium. RNAcentral describes it as "partial 16S ribosomal RNA". It matches the Rfam family "Bacterial small subunit ribosomal RNA", at positions 335 to 602 of the family's 1533-position model. The record is from RNAcentral.